RNAcentral lists this ribosomal RNA (253 nucleotides) under uncultured bacterium. Its description in RNAcentral is "partial 16S ribosomal RNA". It matches the Rfam family "Bacterial small subunit ribosomal RNA", at positions 524 to 776 of the family's 1533-position model. The record is from RNAcentral.
UACGAAGGGGGCUAGCGUUGCUCGGAAUCACUGGGCGUAAAGGGUGCGUAGGCGGGUCCUUAAGUCAGUGGUGAAAUCCUGGAGCUCAACUCCAGAACUGCCUUUGAUACUGAAGAUCUUGAGUUCGGGAGAGGUGAGUGGAACUGCGAGUGUAGAGGUGAAAUUCGUAGAUAUUCGCAAGAACACCAGUGGCGAAGGCGGCUCACUGGCCCGAUACUGACGCUGAUGCACGAAAGCGUGGGGAGCAAACAGG